Molecule: ribosomal RNA, 900 nt
Filed under: uncultured archaeon
Lineage: Archaea
Description: bacterial SSU rRNA
Rfam family: Archaeal small subunit ribosomal RNA
Source: RNAcentral
GCCGGACCUGACUGCUAUCGGAUUGAUACUAAGCCAUGCGAGUCGUUGUAGCAAUACAAGGCAUACGGCUCAGUAACGCGUAGUCAACCUAACCUAUGGACGGGAAUAACCUCGGGAAACUGAGAAUAAUGCCCGAUAGAACAUUAUGCCUGGAAUGGUUUAUGUUCCAAAUGAUUUAUCGCCAUAGGAUGGGACUGCGGCCUAUCAGUUUGUUGGUGAGGUAAUGGCCCACCAAGACUAUUACAGGUACGGGCUCUGAGAGGAGUAGCCCGGAGAUGGGUACUGAGACACGGACCCAGGCCCUAUGGGGCGCAGCAGGCGAGAAAACUUUGCAAUGUGCGAAAGCACGACAAGGUUAAUCCGAGUGAUUUCUGCUAAAGAGAUCUUUUGUUAGUCCUAGAAACACUAACGAAUAAGGGGUGGGCAAGUUCUGGUGUCAGCCGCCGCGGUAAAACCAGCACCUCAAGUGGUCAGGAUGAUUAUUGGGCCUAAAGCAUCCGUAGCCGGCUCUGUAAGUUUUCGGUUAAAUCUGUACGCUCAACGUACAGGCUGCCGGGAAUACUGCAGAACUAGGGAGUGGGAGAGGUAGACGGUACUCGGUAGGAAGUGGUAAAAUGCUUUGAUCUAUCGAUGACCACCUGUGGCGAAGGCGGUCUACCAGAACACGUCCGACGGUGAGGGAUGAAAGCUGGGGGAGCAAACCGGAUUAGAUACCCGGGUAGUCCCAGCUGUAAACUAUGCAAACUCAGUGAUGCAUUGGCUUGUGGCCAAUGCAGUGCUGCAGGGAAGCCGUUAAGUUUGCCGCCUGGGAAGUACGUACGCAAGUAUGAAACUUAAAGGAAUUGGCGGGGGAGCACCACAAGGGGUGAAGCCUGCGGUUCAAUUGGAUUCAACGCCGGA